UGGUGAUUUGUCCUUAUAGAGCACAUAUAUGCUGAAGACAAAGAAGAUAUCGACUAAAGAAUCGUUGUGUCGCACGUAUUGAGGGAAUUGGAUGAUACAAACAAAUUAUAAUUCAAAUCCACAAAACUUGAAACAUUUCAAAUCCCAUAACUUUGAUUACUCUUAAUUUCCAUCUCUCCAUCAUCAUUCUAACAACUUAUUGUCUGAAGAUUGACUUUCUAUUGUUGUGGUUAUGC
RNAcentral lists this unclassified non-coding RNA (236 nucleotides) under Hevea brasiliensis (rubber tree). Lineage: Eukaryota; Viridiplantae; Streptophyta; Magnoliopsida; Malpighiales; Euphorbiaceae. The record is from RNAcentral.